RNAcentral lists this transfer RNA (73 nucleotides) under Kwoniella bestiolae CBS 10118. Its description in RNAcentral is "tRNA-Met (CAT) (tRNA-Met-CAT-2-1)". It matches the Rfam family "tRNA". Rfam says of the family: Transfer RNA (tRNA) molecules are approximately 80 nucleotides in length. The record is from RNAcentral. Lineage: Eukaryota; Fungi; Basidiomycota; Tremellomycetes; Tremellales; Cryptococcaceae.
GCCGCGAUCGCUUAGUUGGUUAAAGCAAGGGUCUCAUAAUCCCUAGCCCAGAGUUCGAGUCUCUGUCAUGGCA